CACGGAGUUAGCCGAUCCUUAUUCUUACGAUACCGUCAAGCUCCUACACGUAGGAGUGUUUCUUCUCGUACAAAAGCAGUUUACAAUCCAUAGGACCGUCAUCCUGCACGCGGCAUGGCUGGAUCAGGCUUGCGCCCAUUGUCCAAUAUUCCUCACUGCUGCCUCCCGUAGGAGUCUGGUCCGUGUCUCAGUACCAGUGUGGGGGAUCUCCCUCUCAGGACCCCUACCCAUCGUAGCCUUGGUAAGCCGUUACCUUACCAACAAGCUAAUGGGACGCAUGCUCAUCUUUCACCGUUGUGACUUUAAUAGUUCAACCAUGCGGCUGUACUAUACUAUGAGGUAUUAAUCCAAAUUUCUCUGGGCUAUCCCUCUGUGAAAGGCAGAUUGCAUACGCGUUACGCACCCGUGCGCCGGUCUCUAGCACCGAAGCGCUAUACCCCUCGACUUGCAUGUGUUAAGCCUGCCGCUAGCGUUCAUCCUGAGCCA
Molecule: ribosomal RNA, 486 nt
Filed under: uncultured Flavobacterium sp.
Lineage: Bacteria; Pseudomonadati; Bacteroidota; Flavobacteriia; Flavobacteriales; Flavobacteriaceae
Description: partial 16S ribosomal RNA
Source: RNAcentral